This 70-nucleotide non-coding RNA is filed under the name Streptomyces sp. H34-S4. The record is from RNAcentral. Lineage: Bacteria; Bacillati; Actinomycetota; Actinomycetes; Kitasatosporales; Streptomycetaceae.
AGGCGAAACCCGCCCCUUCGGGGGCGUGGUCCACCGGGCUGGCAUCCCGGUGCUGAUGAGCCUGCCAUCC